This 269-nucleotide ribosomal RNA is filed under the name unidentified marine bacterioplankton. RNAcentral describes it as "partial 16S ribosomal RNA". It matches the Rfam family "Bacterial small subunit ribosomal RNA", at positions 70 to 339 of the family's 1533-position model. The record is from RNAcentral.
ACAGGAGAGCUUGCUCUCUGGGUGGCGAGUGGCGGACGGGUGAGUAAUACGUAGGAAUCUGCCCAGUAGCGGGGGACAACUUAGGGAAACUUAAGCUAAUACCGCAUACGCACUACGGUGGAAAGCAGGGGAUCGCAAGACCUUGCACUAUUGGAUGAGCCUACGUCCGAUUAGCUAGUUGGUAGGGUAACGGCCUACCAAGGCGACGAUCGGUAGCUGGUCUGAGAGGACGACCAGCCACACUGGGACUGAGACACGGCCCAGACUCC